Molecule: ribosomal RNA, 1511 nt
Filed under: Escherichia coli
Lineage: Bacteria; Pseudomonadati; Pseudomonadota; Gammaproteobacteria; Enterobacterales; Enterobacteriaceae
Description: partial 23S ribosomal RNA
Rfam family: Bacterial large subunit ribosomal RNA
Source: RNAcentral
UUCCUGUACUUGGUGUUACUGCGAAGGGGGGACGGAGAAGGCUAUGUUGGCCGGGCGACGGUUGUCCCGGUUUAAGCGUGUAGGCUGGUUUUCCAGGCAAAUCCGGAAAAUCAAGGCUGAGGCGUGAUGACGAGGCACUACGGUGCUGAAGCGACAAAUGCCCUGCUUCCAGGAAAAGCCUCUAAGCAUCAGGUAACAUCAAAUCGUACCCCAAACCGACACAGGUGGUCAGGUAGAGAAUACCAAGGCGCUUGAGAGAACUCGGGUGAAGGAACUAGGCAAAAUGGUGCCGUAACUUCGGGAGAAGGCACGCUGAUAUGUAGGUGAAGCGACUUGCUCGUGGAGCUGAAAUCAGUCGAAGAUACCAGCUGGCUGCAACUGUUUAUUAAAAACACAGCACUGUGCAAACACGAAAGUGGACGUAUACGGUGUGACGCCUGCCCGGUGCCGGAAGGUUAAUUGAUGGGGUUAGCGGUAACGCGAAGCUCUUGAUCGAAGCCCCGGUAAACGGCGGCCGUAACUAUAACGGUCCUAAGGUAGCGAAAUUCCUUGUCGGGUAAGUUCCGACCUGCACGAAUGGCGUAAUGAUGGCCAGGCUGUCUCCACCCGAGACUCAGUGAAAUUGAACUCGCUGUGAAGAUGCAGUGUACCCGCGGCAAGACGGAAAGACCCCGUGAACCUUUACUAUAGCUUGACACUGAACAUUGAGCCUUGAUGUGUAGGAUAGGUGGGAGGCUUUGAAGUGUGGACGCCAGUCUGCAUGGAGCCGACCUUGAAAUACCACCCUUUAAUGUUUGAUGUUCUAACGUGGGCCCCUUACCGGGGUUGCGGACAGUGUCUGGUGGGUAGUUUGACUGGGGCGGUCUCCUCCUAAAGAGUAACGGAGGAGCACGAAGGUUGGCUAAUCCUGGUCGGACAUCAGGAGGUUAGUGCAAUGGCAUAAGCCAGCUUGACUGCGAGCGUGACGGCGCGAGCAGGUGCGAAAGCAGGUCAUAGUGAUCCGGUGGUUCUGAAUGGAAGGGCCAUCGCUCAACGGAUAAAAGGUACUCCGGGGAUAACAGGCUGAUACCGCCCAAGAGUUCAUAUCGACGGCGGUGUUUGGCACCUCGAUGUCGGCUCAUCACAUCCUGGGGCUGAAGUAGGUCCCAAGGGUAUGGCUGUUCGCCAUUUAAAGUGGUACGCGAGCUGGGUUUAGAACGUCGUGAGACAGUUCGGUCCCUAUCUGCCGUGGGCGCUGGAGAACUGAGGGGGGCUGCUCCUAGUACGAGAGGACCGGAGUGGACGCAUCACUGGUGUUCGGGUUGUCAUGCCAAUGGCACUGCCCGGUAGCUAAAUGCGGAAGAGAUAAGUGCUGAAAGCAUCUAAGCACGAAACUUGCCCCGAGAUGAGUUCUCCCUGACUCCUUGAGAGUCCUGAAGGAACGUUGAAGACGACGACGUUGAUAGGCCGGGUGUGUAAGCGCAGCGAUGCGUUGAGCUAACCGGUACUAAUGAACCGUGAGGCUUAACCUU